Molecule: small RNA, 28 nt
Filed under: Bombyx mori (domestic silkworm)
Lineage: Eukaryota; Metazoa; Arthropoda; Insecta; Lepidoptera; Bombycidae
Description: ovarian small RNA-22989
Source: RNAcentral
UAGUCCUGACCGGAAACCUGGAGGCCAA